GCUGCGCAACCAGAACUCAAGCCAGAUUUCUUGGCUGAUUUGGUCCGUGUUUGCGGUAACGAGCAACUACCCGUCUUAGUGGGUGGGGAUUUUAACAUUAUUCGAAGAAAGGAGGAAAAGAAUAAUGACAACUUUGACGGCAGAUGGUCGUUUAUGUUCAAUACUAUCAUAGAAAGCUUGGAUCUCAGAGAGAUAGAGCUUUCGGGUAGGAAAUUCACUUGGGCAAACUCGCUACCGGUUCCGACUUUUGAGAAGCUCGAUCGUGUUUUGGCGAGCGUCGAUUGGGAACAGAAGUUUCCUCUGGUAACGGUGCAGGCAUUGACACGAGGUAUCUCGGAUCACACACCGUUACUAGUCGACUCUGGAGCUCAAACUCAUAUGGGU
RNAcentral lists this ribosomal RNA (384 nucleotides) under Triticum aestivum (bread wheat). Its description in RNAcentral is "partial small subunit ribosomal RNA". The record is from RNAcentral. Lineage: Eukaryota; Viridiplantae; Streptophyta; Magnoliopsida; Poales; Poaceae.